RNAcentral lists this ribosomal RNA (263 nucleotides) under uncultured archaeon. RNAcentral describes it as "partial 16S ribosomal RNA". It matches the Rfam family "Archaeal small subunit ribosomal RNA", at positions 718 to 982 of the family's 1478-position model. The record is from RNAcentral.
AGUCACUGACAUUAGAUACCCCUGUAGUCCAGGGUGUAAACGCUGCAGACUUGGUGUUGGAAGUCCUUUGGGGGCAUUCAGUGCCGGAGAGAAGUUGUUAAGUCUGCUACUUGGGAGUACGUCCGCAAGGAUGAAACUUAAAGGAAUUGGCGGGGGAGCACCGCAACGGGAGGAGCGUGCGGUUUAAUUGGAUUCAACACCGUAAACUCACCAGGGAAGACUGUUACAUGAAGGCCGAGAUGAAGACUCUGCUAGAUUUUCAG